Molecule: ribosomal RNA, 552 nt
Filed under: uncultured bacterium
Lineage: Bacteria
Description: bacterial SSU rRNA
Rfam family: Bacterial small subunit ribosomal RNA
Source: RNAcentral
UGGGGGAACCCUGAUGGAGCGACGCCGCGUGGGGGAUGACUGGCUUCGGCCCGUAAACCCCUGUCAUUUGCGAACAAAUUGAUUCACCUAACACGUGAAGCAUUGAUAGUAGCGGAAGAGGAAGGGACGGCUAACUCUGUGCCAGCAGCCGCGGUAAUACAGAGGUCCCAAGCGUUGUUCGGAUUCACUGGGCGUAAAGGGUGCGUAGGUGGCCAGGUAAGUCUGAUGUGAAGGCUCGGAGCUUAACUCCGAAAUGGCAUUGGAUACUAUCUGGCUGGAGGGUCGGAGGGGGGACUGGAAUUCUCGGUGUAGCAGUGAAAUGCGUAGAUAUCGAGAGGAACACCAGUGGCGAAGGCGAGUCCCUGGACGACUCCUGACACUGAGGCACGAAAGCUAGGGGAGCAAACAGGAUUAGAUACCCUGGUAGUCCUAGCCGUAAACGGUGCAUAUUUGCUGUAAAAGGAAUCGACCCCUUUUGUGGCGUAGCUAACGCGUUAAAUAUGCCGCCUGGGAAGUACGGUCGCAAGAUUAAAACUCAAAGAAAUUGACGGA